GUAGGGUGCAAGCGUUAAUCGGAAUUACUGGGCGUAAAGCGUGCGCAGGCGGUUAUGUAAGACAGUUGUGAAAUCCCCGGGCUCAACCUGGGAACUGCAUCUGUGACUGCAUAGCUAGAGUACGGUAGAGGGGGAUGGAAUUCCGCGUGUAGCAGUGAAAUGCGUAGAUAUGCGGAGGAACACCGAUGGCGAAGGCAAUCCCCUGGACCUGUACUGACGCUCAUGCACGAAAGCGUGGGGAGCAAACAGGAUUAGAUACCCUGGUAGUCCACGCCCUAAACGAUGUCAACUGGUUGUUGGGAAUUCACUUUCUCAGUAACGAAGCUAACGCGUGAAGUUGACCGCCUGGGGAGUACGGCCGCAAGGUUG
This 369-nucleotide ribosomal RNA is filed under the name uncultured bacterium. Its description in RNAcentral is "bacterial SSU rRNA". It matches the Rfam family "Bacterial small subunit ribosomal RNA", at positions 527 to 896 of the family's 1533-position model. The record is from RNAcentral.